GCUAAUGACGUCACCCUGACUGCUCCCGAUCUCAUCUGAUCUUGGAAGCUAAGCAGGGUCCAGCUUGGAUCUUGGAAGCUAAGCAGGGUCCAGCCUGGUUAGUA
RNAcentral lists this ribosomal RNA (104 nucleotides) under Sorex araneus (European shrew). The record is from RNAcentral. Lineage: Eukaryota; Metazoa; Chordata; Mammalia; Eulipotyphla; Soricidae.